GGGAAUAUUGCACAAUGGGGGAAACCCUGAUGCAGCGACGCCGCGUGAGUGAAGAAGUAUUUCGGUAUGUAAAGCUCUAUCAGCAGGGAAGAAAAUGACGGUACCUGAUUAAGAAGCCCCGGCUAACUACGUGCCAGCAGCCGCGGUAAUACGUAGGGGGCAAGCGUUAUCCGGAUUUACUGGGUGUAAAGGGAGAGUAGGUGGCAGAGCAAGUCCGAAGUGAAAACCCAAAGCUCAACUAUGGGAAUGCUUUAGAAACUGCUCAGCUAGAGUGCAGGAGAGGCAAGUGGAAUUCUUAGUGUAGCGGUGAAAUGCGUAGAUAUUAGGAGGAACACCAGUGGCGAAGGCGGCUUGCUGGACUGUAACUGACACUGAGGCUCGAAAGCGUGGGGAGCAAACAG
Molecule: ribosomal RNA, 401 nt
Filed under: uncultured bacterium
Lineage: Bacteria
Description: bacterial SSU rRNA
Rfam family: Bacterial small subunit ribosomal RNA
Source: RNAcentral